Molecule: unclassified non-coding RNA, 205 nt
Filed under: plant metagenome
Description: partial contains small subunit ribosomal RNA and internal transcribed spacer 1
Rfam family: Eukaryotic small subunit ribosomal RNA (bases 1-46)
Source: RNAcentral
AAGUCGUAACAAGGUUUCCGUAGGUGAACCUGCGGAAGGAUCAUUAAAAAUUGCCCGGAGGUGCCUCGCGCCCUCCACCGCAAACCAAUGUGAACGCACCCGUUGCUUCGGCGGCAGGGGGGAUCUCCUCCCGUCAGCCCGUCCGGAGCCCCGAGCAAACCAUUUCUGUAAACUUCGGUCAGACACGAUAAAGUAAAUCGUUAAA